RNAcentral lists this ribosomal RNA (515 nucleotides) under uncultured bacterium. RNAcentral describes it as "partial 16S ribosomal RNA". It matches the Rfam family "Bacterial small subunit ribosomal RNA", at positions 28 to 523 of the family's 1533-position model. The record is from RNAcentral.
GAUGAACGCUGGCGGCGUGCCUAAUACAUGCAAGUCGAGCGAAUGGAUUAAGAGCUUGCUCUUAUGAAGUUAGCGGCGGACGGGUGAGUAACACGUGGGUAACCUGCCCAUAAGACUAGGAUAACUCCGGGAAACCGGGGCUAAUACCGGAUAAUAUUUUGAACUGCAUGGUUCAAAAUUGAAAGGCGGCUUCGGCUGUCACUGUUGGAUGGACCCGCGUCGCAUUAGCUAGUUGGUGAGGUAACGGCUCACCAAGGCAACGAUGCGUAGCCGACCUGAGAGGGUGAUCGGCCACACUGGGACUGGGACACGGCCCAGACUCCUACGGGAGGCAGCAGUAGGGAAUCUUCCGCAAUGGACGAAAGUCUGACGGAGCAACGCCGCGUGAGUGAUGAAGGCUUUCGGGUCGUAAAACUCUGUUGUUAGGGAAGAACAAGUGCUAGUUGAAUAAGCUGGCACCUUGACGGUACCUAACCAGAAAGCCACGGCUAACUACGUGCCAGCCGCCGCGGUAA